RNAcentral lists this transfer RNA (74 nucleotides) under Sphaerodactylus townsendi. RNAcentral's name for it is "tRNA-Ala". It matches the Rfam family "tRNA". From Rfam's summary of the family: Transfer RNA (tRNA) molecules are approximately 80 nucleotides in length. The record is from RNAcentral. Lineage: Eukaryota; Metazoa; Chordata; Lepidosauria; Squamata; Sphaerodactylidae.
GGAGGGGUGUGGCUCAGUGGUCGAGCAUCUGCUUGGCAAGCAGAAGGUCCCUAGUUCGGUCCCUGGCAUCUCCA